AUUGAACGCUGGCGGCAGGCCUAACACAUGCAAGUCGAGCGGAUGAAGGGAGCUUGCUCCUGGAUUCAGCGGCGGACGGGUGAGUAAUGCCUAGGAAUCUGCCUGGUAGUGGGGGAUAACGUCCGGAAACGGGCGCUAAUACCACAUACGUCCUGAGGGAGAAAGUGGGGGAUCUUCGGACCUCACGCUAUCAGAUGAGCCUAGGUCGGAUUAGCUAGUUGGUGGGGUAAAGGCCUACCAAGGCGACGAUCCGUAACUGGUCUGAGAGGAUGAUCAGUCACACUGGAACUGAGUCACGGUCCAGACUCCUACGGGAGGCAGCAGUGGGGAAUAUUGGACAAUGGGCGAAAGCCUGAUCCAGCCAUGCCGCGUGUGUGAAGAAGGUCUUCGGAUUGUAAAGCACUUUAAGUUGGGAGGAAGGGCAGUAAGUUAAUACCUUGCUGUUUUGACGUUACCAACAGAAUAAGCACCGGCUAACUUCGUG
This 484-nucleotide ribosomal RNA is filed under the name uncultured bacterium. RNAcentral describes it as "partial 16S ribosomal RNA". It matches the Rfam family "Bacterial small subunit ribosomal RNA", at positions 30 to 507 of the family's 1533-position model. The record is from RNAcentral.